CCGAGUGAGGGCUUCCGGCCCGACCUCCAACCCUUUGUUAUCAAAACCACUGUUGCCUCGGGGGCGACCCGCGCCUGUCGGCGCCGGGGCCCCCGGUGGACCACACCAAAACUCUGCAUCUUUGCGUCGGGUUUAAAAGUUUAAUUGAUUA
Molecule: unclassified non-coding RNA, 151 nt
Filed under: uncultured fungus
Lineage: Eukaryota; Fungi
Description: sequence contains ITS1, 5.8S rRNA gene
Source: RNAcentral